GCUAAGAAUAUUCCGCAAUGGACGAAAGUCUGACGGAGCGACGCCGCGUGGAUGACGAAGGCCGAAAGGUUGUAAAGUCCUUUUGUCGAUGAAGAAUAAGGGUAGGAGGGAAUGCCUGCCUGAUGACGUUAGUCGGCGAAUAAGCCCCGGCUAAUUACGUGCCAGCAGCCGCGGUAACACGUAAGGGGCAAGCGUUGUUCGGAAUUAUUGGGCGUAAAGGGUACGUAGGCGGUUUGGUAAGCCCGGCGUGAAAUCCUGCAGCUUAACUGUAGAGCUGCGCUGGGAACUGCGAAACUUGAGUCAUGGAAGGGGAGUUAGAAUUCCAGGUGUAGGGGUGAAAUCUGUAGAUAUCUGGAAGAAUACCGGUGGCGAAGGCGAACUCCUGGCCAAUGACUGACGCUGAGGUACGAAAGUGCGGGGAGCAAACAGGAUUAGAAACCCCAGUAGUCC
This 450-nucleotide ribosomal RNA is filed under the name uncultured bacterium. RNAcentral's name for it is "partial 16S ribosomal RNA". It matches the Rfam family "Bacterial small subunit ribosomal RNA", at positions 354 to 796 of the family's 1533-position model. The record is from RNAcentral.